This 780-nucleotide long non-coding RNA is filed under the name Oryza sativa Indica Group (long-grained rice). Its description in RNAcentral is "lncRNA OsZS97_01G023310". The record is from RNAcentral. Lineage: Eukaryota; Viridiplantae; Streptophyta; Magnoliopsida; Poales; Poaceae.
GAGGGAUCUAGUUUGCACUGGUUUUGUAAGUUAUGGGAUGUGUUGUAUCCGGUUUUGCGGUUCGGGGACGAUUUGUAACUCGAUGACAAGUUAAGGGACCUUCGGUGUACUUUUUCCAAAUAGCAGCCGGACUUCUGAACGGGCUACUCGCGAGCGUGUGGGCCGGAAUGUCAGCUGGACGUAAAUGGGCCUCUCGAUGGCCCAUCCACCUCGCCGCCGACGGGGCGCCAUCAACUGCGCUGCCGCAUCCAAUCCCAGCACCCGCGAAUCUGCGAGUUCGGCCUUAGCACCGCGGUCAGCAGAGCAGGCGAUUGGUGGCGGCGCCGGCGGGACUCGCCGGGCCAGCGCGUGCCACAGCCUGCCGACGAGGUCAGGGAUUCAGGAAGGCGCACCGUGCACUGUUGCUUCAUCUGCAGGGCCGGCGUUCUUUCGGCGGGGGAGUGCCGGGUGGCGGUGGGCGUCGAUCCCCUCGAGGUGCUCGACCGUUUGCCUGACCGGGGCGCGGUGCAUCAAAUGAAUCGACGGGAAGCCGGGAACUCGACCAGAUCAACAGUGCGAGCCCCCAAGCUGGUCAGUGGAGACUGGAGCAAUGUCUCAGUCUCACAGUUUCGGGGAGUCUCCUCCGAUUCAGAGGUUGGUGUGGCCGUGUGGGCAGGUCGCCGAUAUGUCACGAUGAGCUUCCCCUCCAGGUUGAUCCGUCCACAGAUUCCAAGGUUCAAGUGGCUUAGAGAAGUUAGAGCUGACAAACUUGGGGGGAUUUCACCAGAUAAUUCAUUGUAG